GGAAGUUUGGGUGAGUGGCUUAAACCAGCAGUUUGCUAAACUGCCGUACCGGUUUCGGUACCAGGAGUUCGAAUCUCCUAGCUUCCG
This 87-nucleotide transfer RNA is filed under the name Bacteroidaceae bacterium. Its description in RNAcentral is "tRNA-Ser". It matches the Rfam family "tRNA". From Rfam's summary of the family: Transfer RNA (tRNA) molecules are approximately 80 nucleotides in length. Their secondary structure includes four short double-helical elements and three loops (D, anti-codon, and T loops). The record is from RNAcentral. Lineage: Bacteria; Pseudomonadati; Bacteroidota; Bacteroidia; Bacteroidales; Bacteroidaceae.